Molecule: ribosomal RNA, 396 nt
Filed under: Triticum aestivum (bread wheat)
Lineage: Eukaryota; Viridiplantae; Streptophyta; Magnoliopsida; Poales; Poaceae
Description: partial small subunit ribosomal RNA
Source: RNAcentral
AUGCUUGCAGAAUUCUGUCAUAACUUUGAGGAGGAAACCGGGCAGAUCGAGACUGGACUAGACCCCAUCAACUCCCCUGUAAAACACGAAACUGCCAUGAACGUGCUGCGACUGGAGGCUCGGCUUGCAAACGUCUUGGACUACAUCGCCAGCGUGAAAACCGCGAUGUCUCGGGUCGACAAGGAGCUCUGGCUACAGGUUGUGCAACAGAAUGACCUCGAGUUGCUGAUGACUCGACUCAACAUCAUCCCUGACCGAGUGCAAGCGUGGAAGAAGUCAGCUACACGAUGUGGUGCUGGUGUCACUUUAUCCCUUGUCUACGUUCACUGUAGGGAUGUCAAGGAAGAGAAGCUGAAGGAUCUCCAUGUAGCUAACACCAAGAAGCUUCAAUUCUAG